Non-coding RNA from Phascolarctos cinereus (koala), 818 nucleotides. Lineage: Eukaryota; Metazoa; Chordata; Mammalia; Diprotodontia; Phascolarctidae. The record is from RefSeq and is a predicted model, not a curated record.
GCCUGUGGACAGUGUGGUGAAGGCAGGAGAAGGAUGGGAGAGAAGAACAGAUGCAUAGGCCCUUUCCUAAUUUCUACUUCCCUUGCUGAGGGCCCCCAGGCCAGGUGCGAUGAAGAUAGUUGGAACAAAUGUUUCUCAUUGUCUACCCCAAUUCAUUCUGUAAGGUAGCUUCCUUAUUGGCCUGCCCUGGAAUGAACAGUGCCCAGCUUUAAGUGUUUUGCCUCAGCCUUUGAAGUCUGGAUGUCAGCAGAAAGGAGUGACAGAGUAAGCAGGGAUCUCACCCCAAGGAGGAGAUGGCCAGGAGACUUGAAUUGAGGCCAAGGAAGAGAUAGGCUUAGAACAGGGGUUGUUUCUGCAACUCCAGCCUACCCACCUCAUCCCAAGCGCCCCUCCCCUCCCCCUUCAAGGAAUGUCUGCCUCCUUGCCUCACCUGGCUUAAUUGUCAUGAGGAGUGUUCCUUCUGCUCUGGCCUAAUAUUUAGUCUUGAAGUUGGAUUACUAUGAAGGAGGGCAUGAAACACAGAGAAACAUGGCUCAUCUUUCCGAAACCUAUUUCCCGAGAAUCCCCAGAUCCACAGGACAAGGACAGCUACAAGUGCCUAGAACAGUACCUGAUACACAGUUGUGCCAGGAAGCAAAUACUUGUUGAUUGACUGACAAAUUGAUUCUUGAAGACACAGAAGCACUGAAGGACUUUUGGAGAGAAAGGUGAAAUCAUCACUGCAGGACUUGUCCGUUCUUAAUGAGAUUCCUCACUGGAAGCAUGAAUUGGCAUUGUUGCAUGGGUCUCAUGUAGAAUCUGAAAUAAACUCACUCUAG